Molecule: ribosomal RNA, 396 nt
Filed under: uncultured bacterium
Lineage: Bacteria
Description: partial 16S ribosomal RNA
Rfam family: Bacterial small subunit ribosomal RNA
Source: RNAcentral
AUACGUAGGUGACAAGCGUUAUCCGGAUUUACUGGGCGUAAAGGGCGUGUAGGCGGUCUUGCAAGUCAGAAGUGAAAUUCCUGAGCUCAACUCGGGCGCUGCUUCUGAAACUGCAGGACUUGAGUGCUGGAGGGGAUAGCGGAAUUCCUAGUGGAGCGGUAAAAUGCGCAGAUAUUAGGAAGAACACCGGUGGCGAAGGCGGCUAUCUGGACAGUAACUGACGCUGAGGCGCGAAAGCGUGGGGAGCAAACAGGAUUAGAUACCCUGGUAGUCCACGCUGUAAACGAUGAAUACUAGGUGUGGGGGGACUGACCCCCUCCGUGCCGCAGUUAACACAAUAAGUAUUCCACCUGGGGAGUACGUUCGCAAGAAUGAAACUCAAAGGAAUUGGCGGGG